CUGCAUGUGGAAACGUCUGCCCUCAUUCCUUUAAGGGUAGGAAUGCAUCCAUAACAUGCUACAUUUAAAAAGGAGUCUCAGGACUGCCAACCUUACAGUAAAGGUUGAGUAGUAGUGUAUUUCUCCUACAUAA
This 133-nucleotide small nucleolar RNA is filed under the name Castor canadensis (American beaver). Its description in RNAcentral is "Small nucleolar RNA U109 (ENSCCNG00000026631.1)". It matches the Rfam family "Small nucleolar RNA U109". The record is from Rfam by way of RNAcentral. Lineage: Eukaryota; Metazoa; Chordata; Mammalia; Rodentia; Castoridae.